UGCCCAAACCUAUCAUCACCUGGUUAAGAGAUGUAAAUGCUCCCCUAAUAUUCUUGGGGGCAAUUUCUGCAAUAUAUACAGGUACCACAUAAGAAAGAAGCCCAAUUCCACACCCCAGAGAAAAUCUUCCAAGAUCAAGCCAAAAGGCAUCCUUGGCAAAUAUAAUUGCGAGCCAUCCCAGGAUGCAGAAUGUUUCUGAAACCACCAUAGCACCUCUACGACCAAUUAUAUCAGCUAUCCGCCCACUUGCUACUGCACCUAUCAUUGCUCCAAUUGUUAAUAUUGAACCAAAAAUCGAAUACUCAGCCAUAUUAAGGCCAAGGUCAUCCACAAUGCCAGUCUCAGCUGGGGAUGAAUAACCCACCUGC
RNAcentral lists this unclassified non-coding RNA (368 nucleotides) under Hevea brasiliensis (rubber tree). The record is from RNAcentral. Lineage: Eukaryota; Viridiplantae; Streptophyta; Magnoliopsida; Malpighiales; Euphorbiaceae.